This is a long non-coding RNA of Cervus elaphus (red deer), 485 nucleotides long. RefSeq lists it as uncharacterized. The transcript is spliced from 3 exons. Lineage: Eukaryota; Metazoa; Chordata; Mammalia; Artiodactyla; Cervidae. The record is from RefSeq and is a predicted model, not a curated record.
CUCCUUCCAUUUCUCAGCUAAGACACGCACCUCUUACCUUCAAGCCACGGAUAACUUGAAAUCGCCAUCCAAGAAGCCAGCCCUGGUCACACCAAGGGGGCGAGAGAGCCAGCAGGUCCUGGGCCCACCGAGCACCCAGCAGUCAGGACAUGGCAUCUGAUGAGCUCACCGCUGGCAGAAGAUAGGGGCUCAGCACCAAAUGGCCAGUCCCUCCAAGCCAGAGGGGGCACAGGGCAGGAGUGGCUGUGGUGGGUGACAUUGGCCGUCCAGGAGGACACAGCCAGGUCAUCACCCGUGGUGUGGCCAGUGAUGUUAAUGAAGCUGAAACUGCAUGUGACCCUUGACCCUGCUGGAAGGACAUGGAUGCUUCAAGGUAGUACCCCAAACAGACUCAACCUUCUCAGGAUGCGGAAUUCUCUUUGAAGACCAACAACCCCAGAAUUGAAACCUCCAUCAUGGGACUUCGCUGGUUAGGACACCAUGCU